UAGGGAAUCUUCCACAAUAGGCGAAAGCCUGAUGGAGCAACGCCGCGUGUGUGAUGAAGGGUUUCGGCUCGUAAAACACUGUUGUAAGAGAAGAAUGACAUUGAGAGUAACUGUUCAAUGUGUGACGGUAUCUUACCAGAAAGGAACGGCUAAAUACGUGUCAG
This 164-nucleotide ribosomal RNA is filed under the name uncultured bacterium. Its description in RNAcentral is "partial 16S rRNA". It matches the Rfam family "Bacterial small subunit ribosomal RNA", at positions 355 to 511 of the family's 1533-position model. The record is from RNAcentral.